GACGAACGCUGGCGGCGUGCUUAACACAUGCAAGUCGAACGGAAAGGCCCUGCUUUUGUGGGGUGCUCGAGUGGCGAACGGGUGAGUAACACGUGAGUAACCUGCCCUUGACUUUGGGAUAACUUCAGGAAACUGGGGCUAAUACCGGAUAGGAGCUCCUGCUGCAUGGUGGGGGUUGGAAAGUUUCGGCGGUUGGGGAUGGACUCGCGGCUUAUCAGCUUGUUAGUGGGGUAGUGGCUUACCAAGGCUUUGACGGGUAGCCGGCCUGAGAGGGUGACCGGCCAGCAUGGGGCAGUAAUGACGCACAGACGACAGCGGGCGGCAGCAGCGCGGAGUAUGGCAUAAUGGCCGGAGGCCUGAAGCAGCAUGCCGGCGGGCGGGAGGAGGGCCUUAGGGUAGUAAACCAAGAUCCCCUGGCAAGAAACGUGAAGGACGGUGGGGUGUAAAGAGGCACCGGCUAACUACAUG
This 468-nucleotide ribosomal RNA is filed under the name uncultured bacterium. RNAcentral's name for it is "partial 16S ribosomal RNA". It matches the Rfam family "Bacterial small subunit ribosomal RNA", at positions 28 to 507 of the family's 1533-position model. The record is from RNAcentral.